RNAcentral lists this ribosomal RNA (253 nucleotides) under uncultured bacterium. Its description in RNAcentral is "partial 16S ribosomal RNA". It matches the Rfam family "Bacterial small subunit ribosomal RNA", at positions 524 to 776 of the family's 1533-position model. The record is from RNAcentral.
UACGUAGGGGGCAAGCGUUGUCCGGAUUUAUUGGGCGUAAAGAGCGUGUAGGCGGCUCGAUAGGUCCGUUGUGAAAACUCGAGGCUCAACCUCGAGACGUCGAUGGAAACCAUCUGGCUAGAGUGCGGUAGAGGGUAGUGGAAUUCCCGGUGUAGCGGUGAAAUGCGUAGAGAUCGGGAGGAACACCAGUGGCGAAGGCAAUCCCCUGGGCCUGCACUGACGCUCAUGCACGAAAGCGUGGGGAGCAAACAGG